RNAcentral lists this ribosomal RNA (468 nucleotides) under uncultured bacterium. RNAcentral describes it as "partial 16S ribosomal RNA". It matches the Rfam family "Bacterial small subunit ribosomal RNA", at positions 28 to 507 of the family's 1533-position model. The record is from RNAcentral.
GACGAACGCUGGCGGCGUGCUUAACACAUGCAAGUCGAACGGAAAGGCCCUGCUUUUGUGGGGUGCUCGAGUGGCGAACGGGUGAGUAACACGUGAGUAACCUGCCCUUGACUUUGGGAUAACUUCAGGAAACUGGGGCUCAUACCGGAUAGGAGCUCCUGCUGCAUGGUGGGGGAUGGAAAGUUUCGGCGGUUGGGGAUGGACUCGCGGCUUAUCAGCUUGUUGGUGGGGUAGUGGCUUACCAAGGCUUUGACGGGAAGCCGGCCUGAGAGGGGUGACGGCCACAUUGGGACUGAGAGACGGCCCAGACUCCUACGGGAGGCAGCAGGGGGGAAUAUUGCAGAAUGGGCGGAAGCCUGAUGCAGCAACGCCGCGUGCGGGAUGACGGCCUUCGGGUUGUAAACCGCUUUCGCCUGUGACGAAGCGUGAGUGACGGUAAUGGGUAAAGAAGCACCGGCUAACUACGUG